GAUGAACGCUGGCGGCGUGCCUAAUACAUGCAAGUCGAGCGAACAGACGAGGAGCUUGCUCCUCUGACGUUAGCGGCGGACGGGUGAGUAACACGUGGAUAACCUACCUAUCAGACUGGGAUAACUUCGGGAAACCGGAGCUAAUACCGGAUAACAUCUUGAACCGCAUGGUUCCACAGUGAAAGACGGUCUUGCUGUCACUUAUCACUGGAUCCGCGCCGCAUUAGCUAGUUGGUAAGGUAACGGCUUACCAAGGCAACGAUGCGUAGCCGACCUGAGAGGGUGAUCGGCCACACUGGAACUGAGACACGGUCCAGACGCCUACGGGAGGCAGCAGUAGGGAAUCUUCCGCAAUGGGCGAAAGCCUGACGGAGCAACGCCGCGUGAGUGAUGAAGGUCUUCGGAUCGUAAAACUCUGUUAUUAGGGAAGAACAAAUGUGUAAGUAACUAUGCACGUCUUGACGGUACCUAAUCAGAAAGCCACGGCUAACUACGUG
RNAcentral lists this ribosomal RNA (497 nucleotides) under uncultured bacterium. RNAcentral describes it as "partial 16S ribosomal RNA". It matches the Rfam family "Bacterial small subunit ribosomal RNA", at positions 28 to 507 of the family's 1533-position model. The record is from RNAcentral.